Molecule: transfer RNA, 77 nt
Filed under: Photobacterium profundum SS9
Lineage: Bacteria; Pseudomonadati; Pseudomonadota; Gammaproteobacteria; Vibrionales; Vibrionaceae
Rfam family: tRNA
About the family: Transfer RNA (tRNA) molecules are approximately 80 nucleotides in length.
Source: Rfam by way of RNAcentral
UCCCCCUUAGUUCAAUUGGAAGAACAAUAGACUCUUAAGUGAAUCUUUAGAUGCUGGUUCGAAUCCGGCAGGGAGAC